Molecule: ribosomal RNA, 376 nt
Filed under: uncultured bacterium
Lineage: Bacteria
Description: bacterial SSU rRNA
Rfam family: Bacterial small subunit ribosomal RNA
Source: RNAcentral
GGGCCCGCACAAGCGGUGGAGUAUGUGGUUUAAUUCGAUGCAACGCGAAGAACCUUACCAGGGUUUGACAUCCUGCGAAUCUCUUGGAAACAGGAGAGUGCCUUCGGGAACGCAGUGACAGGUGGUGCAUGGCUGUCGUCAGCUCGUGUCGUGAGAUGUUGGGUUAAGUCCCGCAACGAGCGCAACCCACGUCUUUAGUUGCCAGCAUUUAGUUGGGCACUCUAGAGAGACUGCCGGUGACAAACCGGAGGAAGUGUGGAUGACGUCAAAGUCAUCAUGCCCCCUUACGUCCUGGGGCUACACACGUACUACAAUGCUACGGACAAAGGGGCUGCAAGUUCGCGAGGACAAGCAAAUCCCAUAAACCGUGGCUCAG